This 423-nucleotide ribosomal RNA is filed under the name uncultured bacterium. Its description in RNAcentral is "partial 16S ribosomal RNA". It matches the Rfam family "Bacterial small subunit ribosomal RNA", at positions 354 to 796 of the family's 1533-position model. The record is from RNAcentral.
GUGGGGAAUCUUGCGCAAUGGGCGAAAGCCUGACGCAGCCAUGCCGCGUGAAUGAUGAAGGUCUUAGGAUUGUAAAAUUCUUUCACCGGGGACGAUAAUGACGGUACCCGGAGAAGAAGCUCCGGCUAACUUCGUGCCAGCAGCCGCGGUAAUACGAAGGGGGCUAGCGUUGCUCGGAAUUACUGGGCGUAAAGGGCGCGUAGGCGGACAGCUUAGUCAGAGGUGAAAGCCCAGGGCUCAACCUUGGAAUUGCCUUUGAUACUGGCUGUCUUGAGUUUGGGAGAGGUGAGUGGAACUCCGAGUGUAGAGGUGAAAUUCGUAGAUAUUCGGAAGAACACCAGUGGCGAAGGCGACUCACUGGCCCAAUACUGACGCUGAGGCGCGAAAGCGUGGGGCAAACAGGAUUAGAAACCCUAGUAGUCC